Marmota monax (woodchuck) is the source of this 931-nucleotide long non-coding RNA. RefSeq lists it as uncharacterized. The transcript is spliced from 3 exons. Lineage: Eukaryota; Metazoa; Chordata; Mammalia; Rodentia; Sciuridae. The record is from RefSeq and is a predicted model, not a curated record.
ACAAGGAUUCAAAUACUUGGGCCCAGAUGUUCAUAGUGACCAAAGAUGGAAACAACCCAAAUGUCGGUGAGUUGGUAGGAGCAUGUGGUAUAGCCAUUGUGUUGGGAAGAACACAGAACGCCUGUUUCUCCUCUGUAUUCAGGCCACGAUCAACACAAAAGACUUCUGACCCCAGGCACGUGGGGCACCUCCGCAGCCAAUUUUCGGCGGACACAACAUCUUUUGUUUGUAUGUGGUGCUGAGGAUCGAACCCGGGCCGCACGCAUGCCAGGCGGACACAACAUCUUUGUUGGUAUGUGGUGCUGAGGAUCGAACCCGGGCCGCACGCAUGCCAGGUGAGCGCGCUACCGCUUGAGCCACAUCCCCAGCCCCCCCAGGAAUUUCUUUAUGGCCAGCUCCAAGACAGAAAGGUGGUGGAAGAUCAGAGUUUCUGUGACCUGCCUUAGGGAAGAGUAAUUCUAGUUUCUGUGGUCCCUCGAGGAGAGAGUUAGGAUCCAGCAACCAGGAUUAAGAUCCAAAAUAUAUAGAGGCCCUAAUAUCACAACCGUAUAUCAGGGGAUAUUAGUCAGCCAUAAAAAGGAAUGAGGCACUGAUUCAUGCUAUCCCAUAGGUGACCCUUGAACAUUAUGCUAAGUGAGAGAGGCCAGAUGCACAGGCCAUAUGUAUAUAAAAUGACCAGGAAGGUAUACCUAUAGAGACAGAAAGCAGACUGGUACUUUCCAGGGGCUGAGGGGAAAGGGUCAAUGCGAAGUGACUACUUAAUGGGUAUGGGGUUUCCUUACGGGAUGGUUGGAAGUGUUUUGGAACUAAGAUGAGGUAAUGGUUGCAGAACGCUGUGAAUGUACUCAAGGUCACCACGUUGUACCCUUCAAAAUGGUCAAUUGCAUGUUUUGUGAAUUUCACCCCAGCCAAAUACAUACAUGGACACAUA